UCCAAUGUGGUGUAGUGGCUAACAUUGCUGUCUUUCAAAUUUCAUACUUUGACUACACAGCAGCCCGGGGUUCGAUUCCCCGCAUUGGAA
Molecule: non-coding RNA, 90 nt
Organism: Paramarasmius palmivorus
Lineage: Eukaryota; Fungi; Basidiomycota; Agaricomycetes; Agaricales; Marasmiaceae
Source: the annotation of a GenBank genome assembly